This 501-nucleotide ribosomal RNA is filed under the name uncultured bacterium. RNAcentral describes it as "bacterial SSU rRNA". It matches the Rfam family "Bacterial small subunit ribosomal RNA", at positions 8 to 507 of the family's 1533-position model. The record is from RNAcentral.
AGAGUUUGAUCAUGGCUCAGAUUGAACGCUGGCGGCAUGCCUUACACAUGCAAGUCGAACGGUAACGGGCCUUCGGGUGCCGACGAGUGGCGAACGGGUGAGUAAUGCAUCGGAACGUACCUUUCAGUGGGGGAUAACGUAGCGAAAGUUACGCUAAUACCGCAUAUUCUGUGAGCAGGAAAGCAGGGGAUCGCGAGACCUUGCGCUGAUUGAGCGGCCGAUGUCAGAUUAGCUAGUUGGUGAGGUAAAGGCUCACCAAGGCGACGAUCUGUAGCGGGUCUGAGAGGACGAUCCGCCACACUGGAACUGAGACACGGUCCAGACUCCUACGGGAGGCAGCAGUGGGGAAUUUUGGACAAUGGGGCAACCCUGAUCCAGCCAUGCCGCGUGAGUGAAGAAGGCCUUCGGGUUGUAAAGCUCUUUCGGCCGGGAAGAAAUCGCAUGGGUUAAUACCCUGUGCGGAUGACGGUACCGGCAUAAGAAGCACCGGCUAACUACGUG